AUAUAUCUUUCCGGUGUCAGUCCCAGGAUAGACAGUCCAACAGGGAACAAAGCAUCGGCCUCCAACAGCUGCUGGUCUUUUCAUAGAAUAAUAAAACGACCUGUUUGGUCUGGAAGAUUUCCUUGUCCCACGGUGUCAGUCAGCCCCUCCUGUUGACACCGGAGCCAGCUUUUCCUCUCUCUUCCUAUGGCUGUGGCAUAUGAUUUCAUCAGAGGGAGAACAUUUCCUUUGGCACACCUCUACCACCCACUUGCUAGACUCAGUCAGCAGAGCAGUUUCCCUUCUUCACCCAGCAGAACACUCGGUGCUGUUUUUAGUUAUCCAUUUCUCAUCAGCCACAACUUCAGUGAGAGCAGCCUCGGACAACUUCUCCAAAGCAAAGAAAUCAACUCCAUGAUGUUGAAGAGGGAAGAGAAAAGGGCAGUGGACUGAGAUUUAGGGAUGCUCACUCCAGUCUCUAAUUCCCCAUGUAACUAGGGGCAGCUCCUUCAUCUCCCUGGAUCUGUUUUCUCACCACACUGUAAUGAGUGGGUUGGGAUGGGCGAGGGCAGGGUUUCAUCUACCCUAAAGUCUUGGCCUCCACUUGUUCAAUCUGCAGAUCUGGCUGCUGACCUGGACCAGACUGACAGCUCUCUUUCUGACUCACCGCAUUUUGCCCAUCAGCAGAUCUUGUGAUCUCUACAUGAAUCUAAUCACUUCUCAUUUCUGCCUCUGCUGCUCCUUUGGUCUGAGUAACCACUAUUCUUCCUGGGAUUAUCCUAACAAUGUUUAAAUGCCUCUCCUUGCUUCUCUUUUUACCUACUCCCAAUUCCUGACCCAGGAACAAGAAUGUCCUUUUAAAACAAAAGUCAAAUCGUGUCACUUCUCUGCAUAAAACACUCCAAUGACUUCCUGUCUCACUCACUGGAAAGAACAGCCUUCUUUUCAAUGGUCUCUAAAGCCUUAUGUAAGGUGGACUUUCAUUUAUUUAUGAUCUCAUCUCUUAACUCUCUCAUCUUCAGUUGCUCCAUCCACGUACUGAAAUAUGAAGUACAUCUCUGCCUCAGGGCCUUUGAAUUGCUAUUCUCCCUGCGUGAAAUGCUCUUUCUCCAGAAAAUCAUGUUGGUUCUCUUAUCUCUUUCAGUCACUUAACUAAAGAGACUGUCAUUGGAUCAUUUCAUAUAAAAUAGCAAUCUCCUCUCCAUUCUACCUCCAGCAACACCUCCUGCACCAUGCACUUACCCUGCUUUACAUCUGUCUAUAUAGAACUUAUCACCAUCUAAUGCCCAACAUUUGUUGAGCUGCCUAUUUUAUGUCUCUUGUACAUGAAAAUAUAAGCAUCUUGAGGAAUAGAAAAUUUACUAUGUCCACUGUUAUAUCUCCAAUGUCUAAAACUGUAUCUGGAAACUGAUAGUUACUUAACAAUCAUGAGUUGAAUAAAUGAAUGAAUUUCAAGUGAAUAAAUGCUUUUGUGGGUCUGGAA
Molecule: long non-coding RNA, 1462 nt
Organism: Ictidomys tridecemlineatus (thirteen-lined ground squirrel)
Lineage: Eukaryota; Metazoa; Chordata; Mammalia; Rodentia; Sciuridae
Source: RefSeq, a predicted model, not a curated record